GGGUAGUUGUGAUGGUCCUAAAACCUGACUCUUAAUCAGUAGGUUGAAGGUUCGAUUCCUUCACGGCCCACCA
This 73-nucleotide transfer RNA is filed under the name Deltaproteobacteria bacterium. RNAcentral describes it as "tRNA-Lys". It matches the Rfam family "tRNA". Rfam says of the family: Transfer RNA (tRNA) molecules are approximately 80 nucleotides in length. Their secondary structure includes four short double-helical elements and three loops (D, anti-codon, and T loops). The record is from RNAcentral. RNAcentral also lists the same sequence under 2 other names. Lineage: Bacteria; Pseudomonadati; Myxococcota; Myxococcia.